This 305-nucleotide ribosomal RNA is filed under the name uncultured bacterium. RNAcentral's name for it is "bacterial SSU rRNA". It matches the Rfam family "Bacterial small subunit ribosomal RNA", at positions 335 to 639 of the family's 1533-position model. The record is from RNAcentral.
AUCCUACGGGGCGCAGCAGUGAGGAAUAUUGGUCAAUGGGCGAGAGCCUGAACCAGCCAAGUCGCGUGAGGGAGUACUGCCCUAUGGGUUGUAAACCUCUUUUGUCGGGGAGCAAAAGCCGGACGUGUCCGUCUGUGAGAGUACCCGAAGAAAAAGCAUCGGCUAACUCCGUGCCAGCAGCCGCGGUAAUACGUAGGGGGCAAGCGUUAUCCGGAUUUACUGGGUGUAAAGGGAGCGUAGACGGCAGCGCAAGUCUGGAGUGAAAUGCCGGGGCCCAACCCCGGAACUGCUUUGGAAACUGUGCG